RNAcentral lists this ribosomal RNA (876 nucleotides) under Triticum aestivum (bread wheat). Its description in RNAcentral is "partial small subunit ribosomal RNA". The record is from RNAcentral. Lineage: Eukaryota; Viridiplantae; Streptophyta; Magnoliopsida; Poales; Poaceae.
AUGAGGAACUGGAAAGAAGAGGCAGCGGAGAAAAGAGACAAGUACGACUUUCAAUAUGGUCGUGGUGUUGGGAUGAGGGUCAUAGAGAAAUUGAACAAACGCAUUGUCUUCUACAAAGCCGGUGAUAUUGAAAAAGAAGAAGAGAAUGAGUAUGGUGAUAUUAGUGAAUCUAGAAACUAUGGUGGAGAACCUUGUAAAGAAUGGGUAUGUCAACCUGAUAUGGACAAUUUAAAAACACCAGCAAAAAAGAAUGUGCAAGAGGAUGAUGAAGAUGAUCUUAAUGAUUUUGAAGAAAAGAGACCUUAUUAUUGCACACCUGAAUAUUGCGAUAGUUUCAAGGGUGAUAAAGAUGAUCCUAUCGAAGUUCCUGAGGUAUCUGAUGAGAAAUCCGUUACAUCUUUAGGAUCAGAUGAAAUCGCAUCACGUGGAUCAGUAGGUUCUAUUGGAGAAGAUGAGGUACCGGAGGAGGUUGUUGGGAAACGGAAGCGCAAGGUAUCAAACCUUAUGAAGUCUCCUUAUGUGCGUACUAUACCAACUAAGCGUGCAAAACGUUCUGCAAAAGCAAAACUAUUCGAGAAAGAAGUCUUUCAAAAUUCUAGUGAUGAAUACGAUGUGGUGAAAGCUGGUGUUAAGUUUGUCCGUGCUUAUGAGCAGUUAGGAAAACAUAGAAAGAAGGAAAUAUUCAAUGAUGGCAUGCGCGAAGGUCUUAGUGCAGAGAGGGCUUGUAAGAUUCUUGACCAUCAAUGGCUGACCUGUGAUAGAAAACAACUUGGAUAUGACAUACGUGAUGCGAAUGCGAGCGGUGCUGUGAAUUAUCCGGAUGUGUCUACCUGGCCUAUUAAAACGUAUAAGAUGCCACAACAGGAAGAUUGGUGA